RNAcentral lists this ribosomal RNA (460 nucleotides) under uncultured bacterium. Its description in RNAcentral is "partial 16S ribosomal RNA". It matches the Rfam family "Bacterial small subunit ribosomal RNA", at positions 338 to 795 of the family's 1533-position model. The record is from RNAcentral.
CCUACGGGUGGCAGCAGUGAGGAAUAUUGGUCAAUGGGCGCGAGCCUGAACCAGCCAAGUAGCGUGAAGGAUGACGGCCCUCCGGGUUGUAAACUUCUUUUAUAAGGGGAUAAAGUGAGGCACGUGUGCCUUUUUGCAUGUACUUUAUGAAUAAAGACCGGCUAAGUCCGUGCCAGCAGCCGCGGUAAGACGGAGGGUCCGGGCGUUAUCCGGAUUGAUUGGGUUUAAAGGGAGCGUAGAUGGGGUGGUAAGUCAGUUGUGAAGGUUGGCGGCUCAACCGUAAAACUGCAAUUGAUACUGGCAGGCUUGAGUUCAGUAGAGGUAGGCGGAAUUCGUGGUGUAGCGGUGAAAUGCUUAGAUAUCACGAAGAACACCGAUGGCGAAGGCAGCCUACUGAACUGCGACUGACGUUGAUGCUCGAAAGUGUGGGGAUCAAACAGGAUUAGAUACCCCGGUAGUC